GCCCUCGUAGCUCAAUGGUAGAGCGCGUCACUAGUAUACAAUAGUUCAUGACGAGGUUGCCGGUUCGAUUCCGUCCGAGGGCA
Molecule: transfer RNA, 83 nt
Filed under: Blumeria hordei DH14
Lineage: Eukaryota; Fungi; Ascomycota; Leotiomycetes; Helotiales; Erysiphaceae
Description: tRNA-Thr for anticodon AGU
Rfam family: tRNA
About the family: Transfer RNA (tRNA) molecules are approximately 80 nucleotides in length. Their secondary structure includes four short double-helical elements and three loops (D, anti-codon, and T loops).
Source: Rfam by way of RNAcentral